Molecule: ribosomal RNA, 563 nt
Filed under: Pristimantis platydactylus (flat-fingered robber frog)
Lineage: Eukaryota; Metazoa; Chordata; Amphibia; Anura; Strabomantidae
Description: partial 16S ribosomal RNA
Rfam family: Bacterial large subunit ribosomal RNA
Source: RNAcentral
CGCCCCCUGCAACCAUGGGGGGUCCAGCCUGCCCAGUGAUUUUAUUCAACGGCCGCGGUAUUCUAACCGUGCAAAGGUAGCGUAAUCACUUGUUUUCUAAAUAAAGACCAGUAUGAAAGGCAUCACGAAGACUUAGCUGUCUCCUUUUUCCAAUCAGUAAACCUAAUCUCCCCGUGAAGAAGCGGGGAUCCUGCUAUAAGACGAGAAGACCCUGUGGAGCUUAAAACACUAUGACAAUUGCCAUUACCCCUUAACCAUCCUGAUGCUUCCCUCAACGGCACCCUGAUCAUAUGUUUUUGGUUGGGGUGACCGCGGAGAAAAACCUAUCCCCCGCAAUGAAGAAGACUUCCUACCCUAAACGAUAAAUUACAACUUUACGUAUCAAAAAAUUGACAUCCUUGACCCAAUAAAUUGAUUAACGAACCAAGUUACCCCAGGGAUAACAGCACAAUCCACUUUGAGAGCUCCUAUCGACAAGUGGGCUUAUGACCUCGAUGUUGGAUCGGGAUAUCCUAGUGGUGCAGCCGCUACUAAAGGUUCGUUUGUUCAACGAUUAAAAUCCC